GACGAACGCUGGCGGCGUGCCUAAUACAUGCAAGUAGAACGCACAGUUUAUACCGUAGCUUGCUACACCAUAGACUGUGAGUUGCGAACGGGUGAGUAACGCGUAGGUAACCUGCCUGGUAGCGGGUGAUAACUAUUGGAAACGAUAGCUAAUACCUCAUAAUCUUAAUUAUUGCAUGGUAAUUAAUUGAAUUGUGCAAUUGCAUCACUACCAGAUGGACCUGAGUUGUAUUAGCUAGUAGGGGAGGUAACGGCUCACCCAGGCGAAGAUACAUAUCCGACCUGAGGAGGUGAUCGGCCCAAACUGGAAUGGGAACCGGGCCAAAACCCUAAGGGAGGGAGCAGUAGGGGAUCUUCGGCAAAGGAGCAAAAUCUGAACGAGCAAAGACGGGUGAGUGGAGGAGGUUUUCGGGUCGUAAAGCUCUGUUGUAAGAGAAGAAAGGGUGUGAGAGUGAAAAGUUCACACUGUGACGGUACCUUACCAGAAAGGGACGGCUAACUACGUG
This 505-nucleotide ribosomal RNA is filed under the name uncultured bacterium. RNAcentral describes it as "partial 16S ribosomal RNA". It matches the Rfam family "Bacterial small subunit ribosomal RNA", at positions 28 to 507 of the family's 1533-position model. The record is from RNAcentral.